This 564-nucleotide small RNA is filed under the name Pan troglodytes (chimpanzee). RNAcentral describes it as "processed transcript". The record is from RNAcentral. Lineage: Eukaryota; Metazoa; Chordata; Mammalia; Primates; Hominidae.
GUCAGGAACUGUGUGUGAUGUUGCAGGACAUUAGGCACAGAUGAAAAUCUAAGAAGUCCAGUGAUGACUUCACUGACAUGGAGAAGGUUGAAAAGAGCAGGCAAAAGAAUCCUCGAAGCUUAUGUAUCCAGACACAGACGGCUCCCGAUGCGCUGCCCCCUGAGAAAACACUUGAAUUGACGCAAUAUAAAACAAAAUGUGAAAACCAAAGUGGAUUUAUCCUGCAGCUCAAGCAGCUUCUUGCCUGUGGUAAUACCAAGUUUGAGGCAUUGACAGUUGUGAUUCAGCACCUGCUGUCUGAGCGGGAGGAAGCACUGAAACAACACAAAACCCUAUCUCAAGAACUUGUUAACCUCCGGGGAGAGCUAGUCACUGCUUCAACCACCUGUGAGAAAUUAGAAAAAGCCAGGAAUGAGUUACAAACAGCGUAUGAAGCAUUCGUCCAGCAGCACCAGGCUGAAAAAACAGAACGAGAGAAUCGGCUUAAAGAGUUUUACACCAGGGAGUAUGAAAAGCUUCGGGACACUUACAUUGAAGAAGCAGAGAAGUACAAAAUGCAAUUGC